This 109-nucleotide transfer RNA is filed under the name Auriscalpium vulgare. RNAcentral describes it as "tRNA-Val". Lineage: Eukaryota; Fungi; Basidiomycota; Agaricomycetes; Russulales; Auriscalpiaceae. The record is from RNAcentral.
GGUUCGAUGGCGUAGUUGGUUAUCGCAUCUGUCUAACACACAAAUUGGCUGCUUAUACGGCCAAUCCUGUGCACACAGAAGGUCCUCAGUUCGAGCCUGGGUCGAAUCA